UUAAAAGAGAGUUCCCCGUGGUGCUCAUGGGCCAGGGGAAAGGAAUUUGUUUGGGGUGGAGAGUAGAAUCAGUCCUGCUUGGGGGUUCCUGCUGUGUUCUUGUGCCCUGGGAAAUAACGAAGUAUGAGAAAAUGAGUAAGAAUCAUACUUGAAGAGCCCUACAUGGGGCCUCUGGCUGCUGGUCAGGGGCUUGGUUUCUGCCUGUGCGUGUAUCCAAGAAAUUGUGUAGGCGUGAGUUUCAACAGUGACACUGUGUGGUAGCAGGAAUCCGUGGCCGAGAGAAUCCCCGGCGGUUCUGAACUGAACAGACUCCAGUUCCUCUAUGCCUGAUUCUUUACAAAACAUCCAGAUGUCCAGCUUCUGAUGAAAAUUAGAAUAUCUGGGAACAGUGAGUUGACAUUCCCAUCUGGCGACUGUCCGCAGGGACUGAAUGAAAAACACCAACCUGAAGCCAGUGAAGCAAAGAGGAAAGUAUCAUCUGGGCCUGCUCUGAGGGCAGAUGCAGCCUCUCGAGUUUUCGACGGAUUUUGCAGAGUUUCUAAGAAAACAAAUCCAGGAUAGCCUCCUUGAUGACAAGAGACUCAUGGCCCAGUCAUCUCUAUCACCUUUACUGAGAGCAGGCCAACUACCAGAUGAAUGAAGAAGUGAAUCCAAACCUAGAAGUGGAAAUUAAAAAAAAAAGUCCCAAUCAUCACUUUGGGAGCUAAGAUGUCCAAGUGUCACAAAAGAGAAUUUCUCAAUGAGGAACUGGCCAGCAAGGGAGAAAAAUACCCUUUAAAAAUACUUCCUGCUAGAAGUCAAAUGGUAGGCAAACAAGA
Molecule: long non-coding RNA, 818 nt
Organism: Zalophus californianus (California sea lion)
Lineage: Eukaryota; Metazoa; Chordata; Mammalia; Carnivora; Otariidae
Exons: 5
Source: RefSeq, a predicted model, not a curated record